CGAAAAUAUUCUUUCUACAUUAGCUGAAGAAUGGAGCAGACACAAGAUAUUUUCAACAAAACGAGAUAGAGUCUUUGCAAUAAAUUCUCUUACAAUAUAUAAGAAAUGAAGAAAGAGAGAUAAUUGCUUUUCUAAUGUUAAAAACGUUAUUAUAUAGCCUGCAAACAUUGAAUAGACAUAUCCUCGUUAGGAUGUUAUCAGUUUAAAAAAAAAAGUCAUGCUAAUAAUAGUCGGUAUAACCUGAUAAUGAAUCAGUGUCUACACAACCGUGAUUCAACGCUGAUAUCAGCCAGCGAUUAGAGAGCCUUUAUAAGAGUUGGUCAUACACAACGAGCUAGAAUAUGGUACAUACUGUACAUUUUUAAAUUCAACACUUACAUCACCGCCGAGUUUUUUCGUUGAACGAUCUAACGUCAGGUUUUGUAGAAAAAAAAGAAACGUUUCUGUUGAAAGGACGCUUUUCACGAUGGCCGACUUAAUAAAGGAUAAGUUACGGCAAUACAACACUUGGGCGAUGCCUUUCGGGAAGUCUUGGAAAAGGAAACUAUCC
Centruroides sculpturatus (bark scorpion) is the source of this 550-nucleotide long non-coding RNA. RefSeq lists it as uncharacterized. NCBI's taxonomy places the organism in Eukaryota, Metazoa, Arthropoda, Arachnida, Scorpiones, Buthidae. The record is from RefSeq and is a predicted model, not a curated record. The transcript is spliced from 3 exons.